This 76-nucleotide transfer RNA is filed under the name Klebsiella pneumoniae subsp. pneumoniae. Its description in RNAcentral is "tRNA-Lys". The stretch from base 8 to 65 matches the Rfam family "tRNA", at positions 8 to 63 of the family's 71-position model. From Rfam's summary of the family: Transfer RNA (tRNA) molecules are approximately 80 nucleotides in length. Their secondary structure includes four short double-helical elements and three loops (D, anti-codon, and T loops). Lineage: Bacteria; Pseudomonadati; Pseudomonadota; Gammaproteobacteria; Enterobacterales; Enterobacteriaceae. The record is from RNAcentral.
GGGUCGUUAGCUCAGUUGGUAGAGCAGUUGACUUUUAAUCAAUUGGUCGCAGGUUCGAAUCCUCCCGGAUGCACCA